RNAcentral lists this ribosomal RNA (519 nucleotides) under uncultured microorganism. RNAcentral describes it as "bacterial SSU rRNA". It matches the Rfam family "Bacterial small subunit ribosomal RNA", at positions 9 to 511 of the family's 1533-position model. The record is from RNAcentral.
GAGUUUGAUCGUGGCUCAGGAUGAACGCUGGCGGCGUGCCUAAUACAUGCAAGUCGAGCGAACGGACGAGAAGCCUGCUUCUCUGAUGUUAGCGGCGGACGGGUGAGUAACACGUGGAUAACCUACCUAUAAGACUGGGAUAACUUCGGGAAACCGGAGCUAAUACCGGAUAAUAUUUUGAACCGCAUGGUUCAAAAGUAAAGACGGUCUUGCUGUCACUUAUAGAUGGAUCCGCGCUGCAUUAGCUAGUUGGUAAGGUAACGGCUUACCAAGGCAACGAUGCAUAGCCGACCUGAGAGGGUGAUCGGCCACACUGGAACUGAGACACGGUCCAGACUCCUACGGGAGGCAGCAGUAGGGAAUCUUCCGCAAUGGGCGAAAGCCUGACGGAGCAACGCCCCGUGAGUGAUGAAGGUCUUCGGAUCGUAAAACUCUGUUAUUAGGGAAGAACAUAUGUGUAAGUAACUGUGCACAUCUUGACGGUACCUAAUCAGAAAGCCACGGCUAACUACGUGGCAG